AACGCUAGCUACAGGCUUAACACAUGCAAGUCGAGGGGCAGCAUGGACUUAGCUUGCUAAGUCCGAUGGCGACCGGCGCACGGGUGAGUAACACGUAUCCAACCUGCCGAUGACUCGGGGAUAACCUCUCGAAAGAGAGACUAAUACCCGAUGGCAUGGGACCUCCGCAUGAAGGUCCCAUUAAAGAAUUUCGGUCGUCGAUGGGGAUGCGUUCCAUUAGUUUGUUGGCGGGGUAACGGCCCACCAAGACUGCGAUGGAUAGGGGUUCUGAGAGGAAGGUCCCCCACAUUGGAACUGAGACACGGUCCAAACUCCUACGGGAGGCAGCAGUGAGGAAUAUUGGUCAAUGGACGAGAGUCUGAACCAGCCAAGUAGCGUGAAGGAUGACUGCCCUAUGGGUUGUAAACUUCUUUUAUAAGGGAAUAAAGUUCGGCACGUGUGCCGUUUUGUAUGUACCUUAUGAAUAAGGAUCGGCUAACUCCGUGCCAGCAGCCGCGGUAAUACGGAGGAUCCGAGCGUUAUCCGGAUUUAUUGGGUUUAAAGGGAGCGUAGGCGGGCGUUUAAGUCAGUUGUGGAAGUUUGCGGCUCAACCGUAAAAUUGCAGUUGAUACUGGAUGCCUUGAGUACGGCAGAGGUAGGCGGAAUUCGUGGUGUAGCGGUGAAAUGCUUAGAUAUCACGAAGAACUCCGAUUG
This 693-nucleotide ribosomal RNA is filed under the name uncultured bacterium. RNAcentral's name for it is "bacterial SSU rRNA". It matches the Rfam family "Bacterial small subunit ribosomal RNA", at positions 32 to 715 of the family's 1533-position model. The record is from RNAcentral.